Molecule: ribosomal RNA, 305 nt
Filed under: uncultured bacterium
Lineage: Bacteria
Description: bacterial SSU rRNA
Rfam family: Bacterial small subunit ribosomal RNA
Source: RNAcentral
UCGUGCCUACGGGAGGCAGCAGUGGGGAAUAUUGCACAAUGGGGGAAACCCUGAUGCAGCGACGCUGCGUGAGUGAAGAAGUAUUUCGGUAUGUAAAGCUCUAUCAGCAGGGAAGAAAAUGACGGUACCUGAUUAAGAAGCCCCGGCUAACUACGUGCCAGCAGCCGCGGUAAUACGUAGGGGGCAAGCGUUAUCCGGAUUCACUGGGUGUAAAGGGAGCGUAGACGGUGAUGCAAGUCAGAAGUGAAAGCCCGGGGCUCAACUCCGGGACUGCUUUUGAAACUGUGUGACUGGAGUGAAGGAGG